GAUGAAGAACGUAGCGAAAUGCGAUAAGUAAUGUGAAUUGCAGAAUUCAGUGAAUCAUCGAAUCUUUGAACGCACAUUGCGCCCGCCAGUAUUCUGGCGGGCAUGCCUGUUCGAGCGUCAUUACAACCCUCAGGCCCCCGGGCCUGGCGUUGGGGAUCGGCGGAGCCCCCCGUGGGCACACGCCGUCCCCCAAAUGCAGUGGCGGUCCCGCCGCAGCUUCCAUCGCGUAGUAGCUAACACCUCGCGACUGGAGAGCGGCGCGGCCACGCCGUAAAACACCCAACUCUUCUGAAGUUGACCUCGAAUCAGGUAGGAAAACCCGCUGAACUUAAGCAUAUCAAUAGCGGAGGA
RNAcentral lists this unclassified non-coding RNA (351 nucleotides) under soil metagenome. Its description in RNAcentral is "partial contains 5.8S ribosomal RNA, internal transcribed spacer 2, and large subunit ribosomal RNA". The stretch from base 1 to 120 matches the Rfam family "5.8S ribosomal RNA", at positions 35 to 154 of the family's 154-position model. The record is from RNAcentral.